AGUUGGAAUCGCUAGUAAUCGUGGAUCAGCAUGCCACGGUGAAUACGUUCCCGGGCCUUGUACACACCGCCCGUCACACCAUGGGAGUUGGUUCUACCCGAAGGCGUUGCGCUAACCCGCGAGGGAGGCAGGCGACCACGGUAGGGUCAGCGACUGGGGUGAAGUCGUAACAAGGUAGCCGUAGGGGAACCUGCGGCUGGAUCACCUCCUUUCUAAGG
Molecule: ribosomal RNA, 218 nt
Filed under: Pseudomonas sp.
Lineage: Bacteria; Pseudomonadati; Pseudomonadota; Gammaproteobacteria; Pseudomonadales; Pseudomonadaceae
Description: partial 16S ribosomal RNA
Rfam family: Bacterial small subunit ribosomal RNA
Source: RNAcentral